CGCGCAGGCGGUUGUUUAAGUCGAAUGUGAAAGCCCCCGGCUCAACUGGGGAGGGUCAUUCGAUACUGAUCGACUUGAAGGCAGGAGAGGGAAGUGGAAUUCCGGGUGUAGUGGUGAAAUGCGUAGAUAUCCGGAGGAACACCAGUGGCGAAGGCGACUUCCUGGCCUGUUCUUGACGCUGAGGCGCGAAAGCUGGGGGAGCAAACG
RNAcentral lists this ribosomal RNA (207 nucleotides) under uncultured bacterium. Its description in RNAcentral is "partial 16S ribosomal RNA". It matches the Rfam family "Bacterial small subunit ribosomal RNA", at positions 568 to 774 of the family's 1533-position model. The record is from RNAcentral.